This 298-nucleotide small RNA is filed under the name Oryza sativa Japonica Group (Japanese rice). RNAcentral describes it as "misc RNA BIP123". The record is from RNAcentral. Lineage: Eukaryota; Viridiplantae; Streptophyta; Magnoliopsida; Poales; Poaceae.
GGCAAAAUCUCAGAAGACACAGUCGAAGGGUGGUGCUACCCAGAGGGGUGCUAAAGGUCCUAAGAUUGGCGGCGGUGGUGGGAAGCGCUGAAAGUCUCUUGCAUCAUAGGGAGAGUUCUUCUGGCUUAGCCUUCUCUCCGGCCAUAUCGUAGAAACAGUACCUUGGUCAAGUUAGCCUGCCGUCUUGAAUUUUCACCUUUUUCUGUGAGAUGACUUGUCCUGAAUGCUUCGGGUAUUUUGUUAGUCAAUUUACAAUUGCACUUAUGUUUGGCUAUUAUAAAAUUAUCAAGUUUUCUGC